AAGCUUGCUUUUGGAUCGUUAGCGGCGGACGGGUGAGUAACACGUGGGCAACCUGCCCUGUAGACGGGGAUAACACCGAGAAAUCGGUGCUAAUACCGGAUAAUACGAAAGACCGCAUGGUCUUUCGUUGAAAGACGGCGCAAGCUGUCGCUACAGGAUGGGCCCGCGGCGCAUUAGCUAGUUGGUGAGGUAACGGCUCACCAAGGCGACGAUGCGUAGCCGACCUGAGAGGGUGAUCGGCCACACUGGGACUGAGACACGGCCCAGACUCCUACGGGAGGCAGCAGUGGUCAUAGCUGGUUUCCUG
RNAcentral lists this ribosomal RNA (307 nucleotides) under Anoxybacillus sp. KC5.5. RNAcentral's name for it is "bacterial SSU rRNA". It matches the Rfam family "Bacterial small subunit ribosomal RNA", at positions 76 to 357 of the family's 1533-position model. Lineage: Bacteria; Bacillati; Bacillota; Bacilli; Caryophanales; Anoxybacillaceae. The record is from RNAcentral.